This is a long non-coding RNA of Larimichthys crocea (large yellow croaker), 211 nucleotides long. RefSeq lists it as uncharacterized. The record is from RefSeq and is a predicted model, not a curated record. The transcript has 3 exons. Lineage: Eukaryota; Metazoa; Chordata; Actinopteri; Sciaenidae.
UGGACUACAUGCAGUUUCUGAGGAGCUUCGGACGGGCUCCCACGGCCCACAGAGUCUGCAGCAGCCGCAGCAGUGUGAGGCGUGCUCCACAGAACACCUCCAUGUCCCUGUCUGACAUACAGAAGCAUCUCAAAGAGAAGAUUGGAGGCAACCUGAGGACCGUGAUCAGAGUGUUCCGGCUGUUUGACUACAACCGAGAAGGACACAUCCA